CGCCUGCCCUGUGACUUGGAAGUUUAACGGCCGCGGUAUUUUGACCGUGCAAAGGUAGCGUAAUCACUUGUCUUUUAAAUGGAGACCAGUAUGAAUGGCAUAACGAGGGCCAAGCUGUCUCCUUUUUCUAGUCAAUGAAAUUGAUCCUCCUGUGCAGAAGCAGGAAUACCCCCAUAAGACGAGAAGACCCUAUGGAGCUUUAGACACAAGACAACCCAUGUUAAAAAACUAAAUUAAUAGAAAUAACAAAAUGACAUUUGUCCUUUUGUCUUUGGUUGGGGCGACCAUGGAGUAACAAGAAACCCCCAUGUGGAACAGGGCCUACCCCCUUAAAACCAGAGCCACAGCUCUCACCAACAGAACAUCUGACCAACAAGAUCCGGCAAAGCCGAUCAACGGACCUAGUUACCCUAGGGAUAACAGCGCAAUCCCCUUUUAGAGCCCAUAUCGACAAGGGGGUUUACGACCUCGAUGUUGGAUCAGGACAUCCUAAUGGUGCAGCUGCUAUUAAGGGUUCGUUUGUUCAACGAUUAAAGUCCUACGUGAU
This 547-nucleotide ribosomal RNA is filed under the name Taenioides sp. Thailand TK-2011. RNAcentral's name for it is "partial 16S rRNA". It matches the Rfam family "Bacterial large subunit ribosomal RNA", at positions 1856 to 2604 of the family's 2925-position model. The record is from RNAcentral. Lineage: Eukaryota; Metazoa; Chordata; Actinopteri; Gobiiformes; Gobiidae.